UCUGGCCUGCUGCCUGCUUUUGUAAAUAAAGUUUUAUUGGAACACAGCCACGCCUCUUCCUGUCCCCGGGGCUGGGACAGCUUUCAUGCUGCAGCGCCCGGCUGCGUGGUUACAGUGAGACCCUGGAUCUUUACAGGGAACGUUGGCCAACUGCUGCUGUCGAGGAGGACAGUUUAGUUCGUCCCCGAGUACCACCCUCCCCACAUGCCCCUCAAGCUCCCUGCACAGCCUGCGCUUUUGGCAGCACAUGGCGUGACUCAAAGUUUACGGGUCAACACCACGAUGAGAAAGGCAGGUCACUUUCUCCCACCACCUGAAACAGGCGACGACUGCCAGCCGGCCACCCACACUCCUGGCCACAGAGCCGUCCAGGCCCUGCCGCUCCGCUGCCGCCUGACCUCCGGUCCUGGAGGUGAGCUGCAGCCUUCCUGGUGUGCUGUCAUGUCAGGGCUAUGUGGUGGCCAGGCCCGUGCAGCCUGGAGUAGUCAGGCUGCUCUGAUCCCAUUUUACAGGAAGAGGUGGCAGGCGGGCCUCAGGCGGGGCCACGUCCUCCCCUCCCUGGG
Molecule: long non-coding RNA, 563 nt
Organism: Myotis brandtii (Brandt's bat)
Lineage: Eukaryota; Metazoa; Chordata; Mammalia; Chiroptera; Vespertilionidae
Exons: 3
Source: RefSeq, a predicted model, not a curated record